GAUGAACGCUGGCGGCGUGCCUAAUACAUGCAAGUAGAACGCUGAAGGAAGGAGCUUGCUCUUUCCGGAUGAGUUGCGAACAGGUGAGUAACGCGUAGGUAACCUGCCUGGUAGCGGGGGAUAACUAUUGGAAACGAUAGCUAAUACCGCAUAACAGUAGAUAUUGCAUGAUAUCUGCUUGAAAGGGGCAAUUGCUCCACUACCAGAUGGACCUGCGUUGUAUUAGCUAGUUGGUGAGGUAACGGCUCACCAAGGCGACGAUACAUAGCCGACCUGAGAGGGUGAUCGGCCACACUGGGACUGAGACACGGCCCAGACUCCUACGGGAGGCAGCAGUAGGGAAUCUUCGGCAAUGGACGGAAGUCUGACCGAGCAACGCCGCGUGAGUGAAGAAGGGUUUCGGAUCGUAAAGCUCUGUUGUAAGAGAAGAACGAGUGUGAGAGUGGAAAGUUCACACUGUGACGGUAUCUUACCAGAAAGGGACGGCUAACUACGUG
This 497-nucleotide ribosomal RNA is filed under the name uncultured bacterium. Its description in RNAcentral is "partial 16S ribosomal RNA". It matches the Rfam family "Bacterial small subunit ribosomal RNA", at positions 28 to 507 of the family's 1533-position model. The record is from RNAcentral.